Molecule: small nucleolar RNA, 84 nt
Filed under: Mustela putorius furo (domestic ferret)
Lineage: Eukaryota; Metazoa; Chordata; Mammalia; Carnivora; Mustelidae
Description: Small nucleolar RNA U3
Rfam family: Small nucleolar RNA U3
About the family: Small nucleolar RNAs (snoRNAs) are involved in the processing and modification of rRNA in the nucleolus. There are two main classes of snoRNAs: the box C/D class, and the box H/ACA class.
Source: Rfam by way of RNAcentral
AAGACUAUACUUUCAGGGAUCAUUUCUAUAGUUUGUUACUAGAGAAGUUUCUCUGAAGUUGUAUUUUGGGGAGUAAGCCAAGGU